UAUGGAAGUCACUGUUAUAACGGUUUCAACAGACAAUUGCAAAAUAAAAAUAGUAAGUAUUAACCUGCAAUUCACCAAAUUAAAAAAUUUAAAAAGAUGACAUAUCUAGACUUUUCAAUAACAACCUAACCUUACUCUCAAGAGAUUUAAACUCGAAAAAAACCAUAUAUGGGCUGUCUAAAAACAAUACCUUAUGGCAAUUAAUUACUCAGAAAUGAAUUUGAGUAAUUAUCAUAAUAUUUCACUAGAACAUACCUUCCAACAAACUAGCAAACAACCAGACAUAUCAACCAUUGCCCUAAUCUCCAGUCUCUAAACAGAGAUAUAUCAUCAAAUUUCAUAUAAUAUAAAGCAGACUCAUACCACAUGCCAAUUAUUACUACCUUAUAUGAGCAAUUCAAAAUAACACCUCAACACCUAAAUUAAUCAAACUAAAAGUGAAACAAUAAAAAUGUUUACUCUUUGGAGAUAUAUAAACCCAACUCAAGUAAAAAUUAAUAAUCAA
Molecule: non-coding RNA, 505 nt
Organism: Cinara cedri
Lineage: Eukaryota; Metazoa; Arthropoda; Insecta; Hemiptera; Aphididae
Source: the annotation of a GenBank genome assembly